RNAcentral lists this long non-coding RNA (612 nucleotides) under Elaeis guineensis (African oil palm). RNAcentral describes it as "long non-coding RNA (EGUI_LNC049089)". The record is from RNAcentral. Lineage: Eukaryota; Viridiplantae; Streptophyta; Magnoliopsida; Arecales; Arecaceae.
UCCGGUAUUGAAAUAAUAAUGUUGUUUGGAUCAGAACUAUAUAAACCAGUUAAUGAUAAGUAAUCUUAUUGAAUAACUGUUGAAUAGAAUUUUACAUGAUAAUAUUAUUCAACUAUCAUAUUGAUGAUAUAUGAAUCCUAUUAUUUUUUUUAUCAACUAUAUUAUUUGUUAAAAGAUAUUUUAUAUUCAUACUAGUAUGAGUGUGAAGGAUUCUUAGUGGACUGUAAAGCUCACAGCCCUUCUUUUCCCUUUCGUAGUUAUAAGACACAGUUUUGAAUGGGUUCGAGUUGGAAUUCAAGCAAUGGAGUAAUUUAUAAGCUUUGCAUGAUCUCUAAGGCUUCAUUUUGGAAUUCAUGCGGAUGUAUCACGUGAUCGAUUCAGAUGUUAGGUUCGGGGUGUGGCAUACCAUUCCUCUCAAUCUCUUUCCUUCCAACAAUUCUACCCCACUCCUCUCCCUUCCCUGUUAUUGUUGUAUGCUAUUCUCUAGCAUUAAACUUUAUAACCUAAUUGAUAGUUAUAAAGCCAUAUUUGAAAAUUAAGUAAAAGUUGGAGGUACAAGGAACAAUAGUAGAAACAACAAGACAAAAACUAGUAACAUUAACUAUACCCAUG